Molecule: signal recognition particle RNA, 267 nt
Filed under: Clostridium guangxiense
Lineage: Bacteria; Bacillati; Bacillota; Clostridia; Eubacteriales; Clostridiaceae
Description: signal recognition particle sRNA large type
Rfam family: Bacterial large signal recognition particle RNA
About the family: The signal recognition particle (SRP) is a universally conserved ribonucleoprotein involved in the co-translational targeting of proteins to membranes. Archaeal SRP consists of a 7S RNA and homologues of the eukaryotic SRP19 and SRP54 proteins.
Source: RNAcentral
CUGUGCUAAACGGGGAGUUAGCGGUGCCUUGUACCUGCAAUCCGCUAUAGCAGGGUCUAAUUCCUUGAAUAAGGCUUUGAUUUGUGGGGUCUGCCCUUUAAAUGCUGGUGUUGAUAAUUGGGUCCCACGCAAUGAAAAAUCAUGAACCCCGUCAGAUCCGGAAGGAAGCAGCGGUAAGUGAAACUUUUCGUGUGCCGUGGAUUAACCUGAUUUGAGCCAACUUUAAAGGUAACGCUCAUAAAUUAAUGUCGAGUUCGAGGUGCACAG